This 173-nucleotide unclassified non-coding RNA is filed under the name uncultured fungus. RNAcentral describes it as "sequence contains ITS1". The stretch from base 1 to 107 matches the Rfam family "5.8S ribosomal RNA", at positions 50 to 154 of the family's 154-position model. Rfam says of the family: 5.8S ribosomal RNA (5.8S rRNA) is a component of the large subunit of the eukaryotic ribosome. It is transcribed by RNA polymerase I as part of the 45S precursor that also contains 18S and 28S rRNA. Lineage: Eukaryota; Fungi. The record is from RNAcentral.
GAAAUGCGAUACUUGGUGUGAAUUGCAGAAUCCCGUGAACCAUCGAGUUUUUGAACGCAAGUUGCGCCCGAAGCCUUUUGGCCGAGGGCACGUCUGCCUGGGCGUCACGCAUCGCGUCGCCCCCCACAACUCUCCGUAAGGGGAACUCGUGUUUUGGGGGCGGACGUGGUGUU